Molecule: ribosomal RNA, 309 nt
Filed under: Triticum aestivum (bread wheat)
Lineage: Eukaryota; Viridiplantae; Streptophyta; Magnoliopsida; Poales; Poaceae
Description: partial small subunit ribosomal RNA
Source: RNAcentral
AUGGCUCAUUUCAUUUCAUGUCGCAAGACAACUGAUGCUCAUCAUGUGGCAAACAUAUUCUUUCGCGAAGUGGUCAGACUUCAUGUCGUUUCAAGGCCCAUCGUCUUAGACUGUCAUAGCAAGUUUCUUGCUGCAUUUUGGCCCACUUUGUGGAAACAAUUUAACACUUGCUUAAAAUUUUCUAGCACUGCUCAUCCACAAACAGAAGUCCUGAACAAAAUUUUGGGUAAUCUGUUUCGUUGGCAUUUUUGGAGAAAGAAAGGGACAAUAGGAUUUGACUUUAUCUCUUGCAGAGUUCUCAUACAAUAA